GGUAUUUUGACCGUGCAAAGGUAGCAUAAUCAUUAGUUUUUUAAUUGAAAGCUGGAAUGAAAGGUUGGAUGAGAAAUAAGCUGUCUCUAUUUAAUUUUAUUAGAAUUUUAUUUUUAAGUAAAAAAGCUUAAAUUUUAAUAGAAGACGAGAAGACCCUAUAGAGUUUUAUUUAUUUUAAAAAUAAAAUUAAUAGUAUUAAUUAUUUUUAUUUGUGAGAUAAAUUUAGUUGGGGUGAUUGAAAAAUUUAAUAAACUUUUUUUAUAUAUAUAUACAUUGAUAUAUGAUUAAUUGAUCCUUAAUUUAAGAUUAAAAGAUAAAAUUACCUUAGGGAUAACAGCGUAAUUUUUUUUGAGAGUUCUAAUCGAAAAAAAAGAUUGCGACCUCGAUGUUGGAUUAAAAUAAAAUUUUGGUGUAGAAGCUAAAA
Molecule: ribosomal RNA, 424 nt
Filed under: Laparocerus bacalladoi
Lineage: Eukaryota; Metazoa; Arthropoda; Insecta; Coleoptera; Curculionidae
Description: partial 16S ribosomal RNA
Source: RNAcentral